RNAcentral lists this ribosomal RNA (459 nucleotides) under Triticum aestivum (bread wheat). RNAcentral's name for it is "partial small subunit ribosomal RNA". Lineage: Eukaryota; Viridiplantae; Streptophyta; Magnoliopsida; Poales; Poaceae. The record is from RNAcentral.
AUGAUGAAUCGCAUCCGACAUAAUUCUCCAUCACCGAUCCAAUGCCUACGAGCUUUUCACAUAUUGUUCUUCGCUUAUUUACUUUUCCGUUGCUACUGUUACAAUCACUACAAAACCCAAAAAUAUUACUUUAGCUACCAUUACCUUUACUUCCAUAUUACUUUGCUACUAAAUACUUUGCUGCAGAUACUAAGUUAUCCAGGUGUGGUUAAAUUGACAACUCAACUGCUAAUACUUGAGAAUAUUUUUUGGCUCCCCUUGUGUCGAAUCAAUAAAUUUGGGUUGAAUACUCUACCCUCGAAAAUUGUUGUGAUCCCCUAUACUUGUAGGUUAUCACUUGCUUCAGUGCUUGUAGUCGUUGCUAGGUGGUCUAUAAAUCUGGAUGUAAAUUUUAUUAUUUUUGGUGUUUGUUGUACUGUCAUGAUUGAAGAUGAAUAUGUAAUGGACGAUAAACCAUAA